This 665-nucleotide ribosomal RNA is filed under the name uncultured Verrucomicrobiota bacterium. RNAcentral describes it as "bacterial SSU rRNA". It matches the Rfam family "Bacterial small subunit ribosomal RNA", at positions 61 to 699 of the family's 1533-position model. Lineage: Bacteria; Pseudomonadati; Verrucomicrobiota. The record is from RNAcentral.
GUCGAGCGACUAUUACAGGGUAGCAAUAUUCUGUGGUGGGAGCGGCGCAAGGGUGCGUAACACGUGGGUAAUCUGCCAUGAAGUUUGGGAUAACCCCGAGAAAUCGGGGCUAAUACUGGAUGUGACAGCUUGGAGGCAUCUCUGGGUUGUUAAAGCUGGGGACCGCAAGGCCUGGCGCUUCAUGAUGAGCCCGCGGCCUAUCAGCUAGUUGGUGAGGUAACGGCUCACCAAGGCUAAGACGGGUAGCUGGUCUGAGAGGACGACCAGCCACACUGGAACUGAGAGACGGUCCAGACACCUACGGGUGGCAGCAGUCGAGAAUUUUUCACAAUGGGCGCAAGCCUGAUGGAGCGACGCCGCGUGGGGGAUGAAUGGCUUCGGCCCGUAAACCCCUGUCAUUUGCGAUCAAACCUUACGACCCAAUACGUCGUGAGUUGAUGGUAGCGAAAGAGGAAGGGACGGCUAACUCUGUGCCAGCAGCCGCGGUAAUACAGAGGUCCCAAGCGUUGUUCGGAUUCACUGGGCGUAAAGGGUGCGUAGGCGGUCGGGUAAGUCUGACGUGAAAUCUCCAAGCUCAACUUGGAAAUGGCGUCGGAUACUAUCCGGCUCGAGGAAUGGAGGGGAGACUGGAAUACUUGGUGUAGCAGUGAAAUGCGUAGAUAUCA